GUAGGUGGCAAGCGUUGCCCGGAAUUAUUGGGCGUAAAGACGCGCGCAGGUGGUUCUUUAAGUCUGAUGUGAAAGACCCCCGGGCUCAACCGGGGAGGGUCAUUGGAAACUGGGGAACUUGAGUGCAGGAGAGGAAAGUGGAAUUCCACGUGUAGCGGUGAAAUGCGUAGAUAUGUGGAGGAACACCAGUGGCGAAGGCGACUUUCUGGCCUGUAACUGACACUGAGGCGCGAAAGCGUGGGGAGCAAACAGGAUUAGAUACCCUGGUAGUCCACGCCGUAAACGAUGAGUGCUAAGUGUUGGGGGGUUUCCGCCCCUCAGUGCUGCAGCUAACGCAUUAAGCACUCCGCCUGGGGAGUACGGUCGCAAAGACUG
This 375-nucleotide ribosomal RNA is filed under the name uncultured organism. Its description in RNAcentral is "partial 16S ribosomal RNA". It matches the Rfam family "Bacterial small subunit ribosomal RNA", at positions 527 to 896 of the family's 1533-position model. The record is from RNAcentral.